UUGGAUAGAGAUCGCCCUCCGUCAGCGCGUUGCGCCCACGGGGGCGCUACUG
Molecule: small RNA, 52 nt
Rfam family: ffh sRNA
Source: Rfam